UAGGGAAUCUUCCACAAUGGACGCAAGUCUGAUGGAGCAACGCCGCGUGAGUGAAGAAGGUUUUCGGAUAGUAAAGCUCUGUUGUUGGUGAAGAAGGAUAGAGGCAGUAACUGGUCUUUAUUUGACGGUAAUCAACCAGAAAGUCACGGCUAACUACGUGCCAGCAGCCGCGGUAAUACGUAGGUGGCAAGCGUUGUCCGGAUUUAUUGGGCGUAAAGCGAGCGCAGGCGGAAUGAUAAGUCUGAUGUGAAAGCCCACGGCUCAACCGUGGAACUGCAUCGGAAACUGUCAUUCUUGAGUGCAGAAGAGGAGAGUGGAAUUCCAUGUGUAGCGGUGGAAUGCGUAGAUAUAUGGAAGAACACCAGUGGCGAAGGCGGCUCUCUGGUCUGCAACUGACGCUGAGGCUCGAAAGCAUGGGUAGCGAACAGG
This 429-nucleotide ribosomal RNA is filed under the name bacterium. RNAcentral describes it as "partial 16S ribosomal RNA". It matches the Rfam family "Bacterial small subunit ribosomal RNA", at positions 355 to 776 of the family's 1533-position model. The record is from RNAcentral.